AUACAACUAGAAACAGUGAAAUAAAAAUCAAAUCUAAUGAGCAAGAUUAGGAGAAUUGGGCUGGUUGCAGUAGCUCACACCUGUAAUCCCAACACUUCGAGAGGCCAAGGAGGGAGGAUCACUUGACCCAAGAGUUUGAUACCAGCCUGGGUAACAUGAUGAAACCCUAUCACUACAAAAAAUUAGCCAGGCUUGGUGGAGCAUGCCUGUAGCCACAGCUACCCACGAGGCUAAGGUGGGAGGAUCACCUGAGCCUGGGAGGUCGAGGCUCCAGGGACCCAUGAUCACAUCACUGCACUCCAGCCUGGGUGGUAGAGUGAGACCCUGUCUCAAAACAAACAAACAAACAAACAAAACAAAGAUUAGGAGAAUUGUAUAUUCAUACAAUUGAAUAUUAUGUAACCAGGAAAAAUCAUGGUUUUGGAGAAUCAUUACUGAUGAGAAAAAUGCCAAUAAAAAAAUUAGUACACAGAGUUAUAAACUUUUAAUGUAUGUACCUAUGGACUCCAGAUGUGUCCAAGCUUAUCCAGCAUGCACAUUCGAAUAUUGGUAAGGUGUGGAUAUCUGCAAUACAUCAGAGUUUAAUAAAAAAGAGCAAUGACAAAGAAAAUUUAAUUAACAAUUCGUUGGAAAUUGUCUUCCAACAUUUCUGCAAUUGAAAUUGUUUCAUUGUUUUAAUUAUCAGUAAAAGAGCGGCAUUUUCUUUCUAAGUAAAUUAAACUUUCACAAUAUAAAAUGUUGUUCAACUUUUAAAAAAUUAACAUUGCUUAGUUUACAAUUCUAUACACAAAAGCAUUGUUUUCUAACAAACUUGGAUACAUUGUAAGAUUUAGACAUGUCUUUUAGAAUACGAAUCCUCCACUCAUAUCUUAGCAAGAUAAUUGAUAGUAUAUGAUGAGUAUUAAAAUGAACUUCUGGGUUGAUAUAAAAAGACAGCCAUUUAAGGCUCCAUUUGAGUUUUCAUUAUUUAUGUCCGAUUUAAAAUGUGAUCAAAUGAGAACUUGUAGUCCCCAACCUGGCUGAGUUGCAGCUGACUGUGGUCCACUUAAAUAAAGCUUUUACCAAAUGUCAGAACCAUUGUGCAUAUUAAUUAGAAUAUGAGUGGCUUAUUUGAGGACUAUUUCAGGACUGUCUCCAGAAAGGAUAAUUCAUGAUUCUUUAAGACCAGAGUGUACGCCAUUCGAACAAUAACAUUAAGAAGGAUCAUUUUUUUAUCUAGCUGCCUCAUUGUACUGGCUGGAACAGACACUUCUAAUACAAUGUUCAGUUUAAGGUCAGAAGAAUAAUGUUAAUCUUGGUAGAGCUUACCAACUCUUAUGUAUUGCAUUAAGAAGAAGGUGAUAAAGAAACUAACAUGUAAAGAAAACAGGAAAGGGCUAAAGAGAUGUUAAUUAACAUAAUUCUUAUCCUAUGAUGUUAUUUCUACUAUUCCAUUAAAGAAACAACCUGUUGGAAGGAAGUAAUGGAUCACUGCAGUUUUACUAUUUUCUUCUAGUUGAUUGAGUAAAUCCUCGAUAUUGCUCAGUUAAUCAGUUUCAAACUUUAUCCUUUACCAAAUUAGUCAAGUACAGUCAUUUUUUUCUUUCCUAACAUCUCCCAAACCCAUAUGUUAUUUCUACUACUACUAACACUAUGCUGGAUUUAUUAUCUUCAGCCUAACUAUUGUUAUACUUCCCUAUGUUGUCCCUAGCCUUUAGUGUAGCUAUAUGCUAAUUUAUCUUAUAGAGCUGAAGUCACUUUCAUUCAUCAUUUUCUUUUCAACAACUUUUACCGAUUCUCUGUUAUCUAUAGAUUUAAGUUCAAUAGCAACUAUAAAGUGAUGUCUACACUCAACUCCAAUUCCUACCACCCAUCGUAUACUAGACUAUUCUUUUUACAGUAGUCUCCCCUUAAUCAUGAGAGAUACAUUUCAGGACCCCCAGUGGAUGCUUGAAAUCAUGGAUCAUAUUAAAUCCAAGACCAAUAUAUACAUACUUAUGAUAAAGUUUAAUUUAUAAAUUAGGCACAGUAAGAUAUUAAAAACAAUAAUUAAUAAUAAAAUAGAACAGUGACAGCAACAUGCCAGCAUCACUAUUCUUACACUUUGGGGACAUAAUUAAGUCAAAUAAAGGUGACUUGAACACAAACACUACAAUAUUGUGACAGUCGAUCUGAUCAUCUAGACAGCUACUAAGUGACAAGUGGCCAAGCAGUGUAGACAGCAUGGAUAGACUGAAUCAAGGGAUGAUUCACAUCCCAGGUAGAACAAAGUAGGAAGACGCGAUGUCAUGCUACUCAAAACAGUAUGCAAUUGAAAACUUAUAAAUUAUUUCUGAACUUUUCUGUUUAAUAUUUUUAGACCACGGUUGGCUGCUGAUAAACUACAGAAAGUGAAACUGUGGAUAAGGGGGGAGCUACUGCACUGCUCUUGGAGAACGUUGUGAAUUCUUAUACCUUGUUUCUAACUAAUUUUAUUAUCUUCAAAGAUUCAGCAGUUUUAUUUUUAUCUAGCCCUUAAGAAUCAGGUUACAUUUCAUGUCUUCAGUGAGGUAUUCCCUGACCACAGUAACCCAAAUUAAUUGACAUUGAUAUCUUUUCUCCUGAUACAGAUCAUCUGGGGAUUCUGUAUCUUUAUAGUAUAUAUAUUAUAAUUCACAAUUAGAUUAAGAAUGUCUUGAGGGCAGGUAUUUCUUUUAAUAUUUUGAUGAAUAAUAGAGGUAAACAUCAUGAGACAAACAAAUACCUGUGGGUGGUAUUAUUAUCAUUUUUCUUUAUUUGCUUAUUUGGCUAUAAAUUUGUUAAUUUGCAUAGCAGCAGAAUUAUUGUUAAAAAGAAAGAAUGGAAGGAGGGACUCCUUUCUCAGUUUCAGAAAGGUAGUAACAAUAACCUUGAUUAUUAGGAGUUUAAAGCAGAGGCCAACAAAAACACACUCAUCACUAGCAUGUCGGUAUUAUACUUAAUGUAAAUGUGACUAGUCUUUUCUUAUUCAUUUUUUCCAGAUUUCUUUUUUAUUUUCAUUUAUUAAAUACAGAAGAAAUAUUUCGCUGAAGACACAGGAAACCCUAUUUUGUAUAAACGAGGGAUUGCAAGAGAUUGUUGGAAGAUCAAAGAUGGGUGAAUUGGAGGUAGGUCAAUGUUUCCUUCCCUUCUUAGACUCCAGUUCUCUUUAAAAAUGGCAACUGAAAACCUAAAUACUGACAAAGGCAUAAAAAUAACCAUAUAAUAUCAAAUAUAGCUAUAUACUAAACUUUAUGAGGUCAAAGACUUUGUCCAUCCACUCAGUACUGUAUACUCAAUAUCUAAGACAAUUCCUGACACAUAGUAGGCAUUCUUGAGCAUUUGCUGAUUGAACGAAGGAUUAUUCAUACUUUUAAUCUUUGGCUGAAAUUAUUUUUAUGAUAAAUUUCAUUAAAAUUUAUUGAGAUUUUAGAGAAAAUGUUCUAUGUAGAAUUUUCUUAAUUGCUUUUAUUUUUAUAGUUGAAAACUGGCCAUGGUAGACUUUUCUUUUCCCCUCUGUCAAUCACAAUGAUUGGUUACCGGUCACAGCAAGAUGAUAAUGGGCUUUUAGUAUCCUCUUUGUGCAACUGUCAUAUUUUCCCCCUUUGGCUUAUGUACUUAAUUUUUCAUUAAUUCUUCUUUCCUGAAAUGUAAAUAUUUUUGCUUAGUAAUCAUUAUAGAAAACAGUAGAGAGGGGAGGAGAAAACAGUACGUUGUUCAAAUCAUCAAAUUCUUAAUACCACCUUAGGGCAACAGAAGAAUGGCAGUUGUUACUGAAUUAUGUAACUGAAAGGGAACAAAGGCAUUAAAAGAAAGGCUCCAUAAUGAAUCUUCUGGCAGGUUUCAGAGAAAGAAGCAGCUGGGUCUUCAUGGCAAGAAAACAUAGUGGAACCUAUUGGUAAAAUAUGGUGAUGAGUGCUUUCAACAUAUUCAAAAAUAUGGUCAUUCAGAAAAUAUAUAUUUCAAAGUGCCUAAAGAUAUUUAACAAGAUGAUAUAAUGGCCUGAAAGACUAUAUAUUUAUAAAUUGACAACAAUAGCCAUAUUUUAAAUGUUACCUCUCAUUUAGGACCUAAAAUUGCAUCAUGGGAAACAUUAUUUCUCUAUUUAUAAAUUUUGCUAAAACAUUUUUUGGAAGGACUUUAGGAUUUUUUUUAAACAAAGAGUGAAAAUUUCAGGAGCUUGAUAUCAUUUGAGUCUAAUGCAAUAAUCUGCAUAUCUUGGCACUAUUAUGAAAAAUGAAAACAAAGAUAAGCUUACAAAUGUAAAUGCUAGAGCUAAUGAUUGUGACACAAAUAUACUAUGGAAACAGCAUGGCUCAGUAACUAGGCAACAGAUUAGAAACUCAGGUUUAAUAUCUAAUUCUGAUUUUCCCCCUGGUUUUUAGCUUUGUGUCUUAUCAGCAAUGUAUUUAAUAUGUUGACUUAUAUAGGUGAAGGAUAAAAAUGGUGCAAAUAAGCCAAAAUAGCAAAUAACUUCCCAUUCUUAUUUAACUUUGAAAUGUCCCAGGUUUUACAUUUGAAGAGCGUAAGAGAGCUAUGUAAGAGUAUCACAGCACUUCACAAUAAAUGAUGAAAUCACAGUCAAGACAUAUAAGAUGUUUUGAAAAGCUAUGUCUUUUUACUACAUUGCCCAAUCCAUCCUUGAAACAGUGCUACCUAUUUGACUUAACUAAGUGCCAACCUACAUGGAAGAAGGUGAUGUCUUUUUCUAUGUUGUCUGACUCUGGUUCAAACAGUCCCAACCUGAAAAAAAUAUAUGUAAUUUUCAAACAGAAAAAAGAAAUCUUCAAGCUGUGUACCUUAUCUGUUCUAGUCAGAAUGAAAUGGUGACUAUGCCAAAAAAAAAUUGUAGCAGAUAAUGUGAUAAUGUCAUUAAAAUGUUAACAACACAGUUUCCAUAGAUGAACACAUGUACAAUCCUGUUUUUCUUAGAUUUCUCCAUGUGGAAAAUGAGAAACAGGACUAGGUAAAACAACAACAAAAAACCUCACCAUGAGCUAAGGUUUUAGUCCUUCAUAUGCUAGCAGAAUGCCUCAAAAUAUCAAGUCUUCUACUCCAUUGCCAAAACCUUCAUAUCUCUACAAAAACUAAAACGCAGUGGUAUGAUAUUUGCAAUCAAGCUUUCUGGAUACAACAGUGGUAUUUCAUAGUUUCCGCUAAUGUCACUAUUUGCUGCCAAGAAUUGGAGCCAUUGAACCAUUUAAUGCAUCCAGGCAUUAUUUUGUGAAAGUUUAACAAUUUCAACAUUAUAAACUGACUUAAUAUGACCUAAUAUAAACUAAUAUUGGUUGGGUAGGUAUCAUACACUGACAUAUAAGGUCAACAACAGUGAUAUUUUGGAUCCAGAUUCUAACCUCUAAUAGAUUAUAGAUGUAAGGUAGUACAUUACUCUAAAAGAACAAACAGUAAGGUUGGAGAAAAUCGGUUUGUUUUCUUUGUUAAAUCCUAUAUUUUAUCAGUUCAUUGUUUUCAAUAAACAUAUCUGUAUUGAUACCAGUCACUGAGCUUAAAGCAGAUUUCAGGAUAAAUGAUCUAGAUAUAGAAACUUCAAAGAAGGAGGUCUCAGGAAAAUGCAGUGAGACGUUUAAAUAAUAUAAUACAAUGGAUUAAAUGCUAUAAUUGAAUAUUUUUAAAUAUAGCAGAAAAAGGGAGGAAGUAAGUAACUAGAUAUUAGAAAUGGGAUAAAGCGUCACUGGGGAGGAAGCAAUUUAACUAACUCAUAGAAUCAGAAAAGUCAGGACCAAACAGAUAACAUCAGUAAAGGAAAGAAAAUAAUACACAAGAGAAACAGUAAAUGGGCAGAGAAUAAUGCUGGGUUUUGAUGCUGUUUUACUUGAAUUUUUAUUUUUUCAUGGGAGAAGAAACACAAAAAAAGCAAGAGAACCAAGGGUUGUGAAAUGCAAGAGCUGAGAUAUAAGUUCAGAGAAGGAAAAACUUAAGAACGACUAAAGCCACAUUUGAGGCUGCCGAGGGAUACUUUGUUCCAGGAAUCAGGCCACAUACAGAAAUACAGAGUGAAGAUGUGGGGAGAGGACUUAUGACAGAAUCAUAAUUAAGACGCAAUUCAUAAUUAAGACAUGAAUCUCGACAGAAGGAGUUGAUCCGGAAACUUUAUCCUGACUUGUAGAUGCUUCAAGUUGAGAGGUUCUGUAAAACACUUGGUAAAUAACAAAGGCUCCAGACAUUCAAAAGGAUAUUCGUAGAAUAGGAAUCUAAAAUACCAAACAGUAGAAAACACAGUAAGGAACAUUAACAAAAGAAGAAGCUGCCAAACACAUGUACUCUAAAAGUACAUAAUUCCAAUGUUGCUAUUUCUGAUGAGCCCUAAAUUCCUUUGGUUCGUACCUUGACAUUUAGAGUGUUUUUAGAUCUUCACCAAGCUCUAACUGCUUCAGUGACUAAAGCUCUAAUUCUGCAGAAUUUAUAGCCUUAAUGCUGUGUCAUAUUCUGGAGCCACUUCAUUUCACCUGUCUGACCGCCUGGGUCUCAGGUCAACCACGCACAAGCUGGGGGCAAGCCUCAGCACAGAGUUCCUAAUGUGGCUCAAGACAGGCUGCUGGAGUUCAAUAAAUAUUGAUUGAUGGUAAUAGGGACAGUAUCACUCUCCUUAGAUAUGUUGUCACUCUGCCUUCAGGAAAACACUGAGAGUCUGUGCUAUUCAGGGCAGUUUCUAUGGCAGCAGAAAUUAAAGGCCAGCAAACUUGAAGCUACACAAAAGUCGUGGGACAACAUCAUUCUGAAUCUUGCAUCAUUCAUGACUGUUUGUAUUGUCUCAGCACCAAGAACAGACAAGAAUGUUCAAUAAGUCUGCAUUGUGAACAGUGAAACUGUGACAGCGAUGUCAUGUUUUUCAUAGAACAGACUAUUUCCAAGCUAAGGUAUAGAUUUUUGGAGUGGGGACGAGUGAGGCAUAGUCCCUUCUCGUGUUUUAGCUUCAGUCCACAGAGGGGAGAACUUUUUUGGAUCUCUUGAGGCAAUAUUACAGAGAACAUGUCUACUUUGCUCUUAGUACACAUAUUUGCACCUCCUGAGGCCUCUAAGUGGCCAAUUUUAUUGAAUAGAUUUUGUUCUAAUUAUUGAACUGCAUUACUAGGGGGUGAGAUACCAUCCUCUCAAAGGCACCUGUAAUGCUCAGUUUCUUCUCCAGCAUGUUCCUGGUUAAGAAUUACUUACAGAUUCCUAGAAUCUAUGGGCUCGUAAAGAAUGGUUUCUUGGAAAAUAUCACAUAAGCUAUAGUAUAAAAUGGAGAUGUUUCAUAAACUAAACUCUCUCUGCUUUGUGUGUUAGUCUCACAAAACCUUGCUUGAAGGUCCCAUCUAUUAUUUUGAAUCAGAGUGGCUGUUUUAUAAUAUAUAGUGAUAUACCCAAAGUUUCUCUCAUGUUUUUCUCAGUUUCUUUGGUCUCUAAAAGAUAUCUUGGAAUCAGAACUGCCUCCACAAAUUGGGAAUAAAAGAACUAAAGUGAUUCAGAAGCUUAUGUCUUUGUUGGUUGGUUUGUUCUCCUGCUUUUUACUUAGUCUAAAAAAAAAAAGCAAAGCAAAACAAAACAAAGAAAUCUAAGAAUGGAAAGUAAGCAUUCAGGCACAAAAAUAGAUAAGAUUUCUGUUUUCAAGAAGGAUGUUGAUACCUUUGCUCCAACUUUUAAAAUAAAUAUCAUAAGAGAAGGAUUUAUAAUAAUUAAUUUUAAUUUCAAGCUAUGUUUAAUAGAUGUAUACACAUAUAUAUACACUUAUACACAUGAAUGCCUUUGAGUCACAGAAAAUAUGACAAGUAAAAGUGUAUGUAAUACAGAUGACAAAAGAGUGCACUUGGACCUUUAUUAAUUCUGAGUGAGGGGUCUUAGGUCCCUGGAAAUAGGGAAGGCAGAAUACAUGCAGCAAAGGAUCUAAAAAGAAAACGAAAACAUCCACAUGGACAUCCUAGGUAAGAACCUAAAAUUCUAACCAAUGCAAAGAGCAAAAAUAUUUUUAAUCAGGCACUGUGUUUAGUCUUCUACUUUGCUAUUUAUAUUUAUUACCAGAACUCUUGAAAUAUAAACUGCUGAAAGAUUUCUAAUGGCUAAUUUUUCUCUUCUCACCUCGGGGGAAUUAAAUUGAUAUCUGGAAUGCAAAGGAGACUAUCAGCACAACCUCUGCCCCUAACACAUCUACCUACACCCCCCUCCACACACACAUAUGUGCAGUUAUCAGAAGACUCAGAAACACUUUCAGCAAGGGUUCCAUCCGUAUGACUGCUCAUCUAUAGGAAAAAUCACUGCUGUAGACAGUAGCUAGAGGCAUAUUAUGUGGACGUGAGCAAGGAGAAAACCCUAUUAUCUAGAGCUCAACUUCCAUAUAACAGAUGGAUAUUGCUAUAAUCUGAAUAUAUCUCCUAAAAUUCAUAUGUUGAUACAUAAUCCUGAAUGUGAUAGUAUUAAGAGCUGGGGCCUUUAGGAGAUAAUUAAGUCAUGAUGAUGGAGCCCUUAUAAAUGAAAUUAGUUACCUUAUAAAAGAGAUUGAAGGGAGAACCCUAAAGUUCCACUGGCCAUUCCAUCUAUCUCUUCUGCCAUGAGAAGAGGCAGAAUCCCUCUUUUUUAUUGCCCUUCCCCCUUCUGUCAUGUGAGGAUGCUGCCUGGAGAGGAUGCCAUCAAUGGAAAAAGCCCUUACCAGACCACUAAACAUGCUGGUGCCUUCAUCUUGGACUUCCC
Molecule: long non-coding RNA, 8661 nt
Filed under: Homo sapiens (human)
Lineage: Eukaryota; Metazoa; Chordata; Mammalia; Primates; Hominidae
Description: long non-coding RNA NONHSAT177338.1
Source: RNAcentral